GGGUUGUGAGGUUAAGCGACUAAGCGUACACGGUGGAUGCCCUGGCAGUCAGAGGCGAUGAAGGACGUGCUAAUCUGCGAUAAGCGUCGGUAAGGUGAUAUGAACCGUUAUAACCGGCGAUUUCCGAAUGGGGAAACCCAGUGUGUUUCGACACACUAUCAUUAACUGAAUCCAUAGGUUAAUGAGGCGAACCGGGGGAACUGAAACAUCUAAGUACCCCGAGGAAAAGAAAUCAACCGAGAUUCCCCCAGUAGCGGCGAGCGAACGGGGAGCAGCCCAGAGCCUGAAUCAGUGUGUGUGUUAGUGGAAGCGUCUGGAAAGGCGCGCGAUACAGGGUGACAGCCCCGUACACAAAAAUGCACAUGCUGUGAGCUCGAUGAGUAGGGCGGGACACGUGGUAUCCUGUCUGAAUAUGGGGGGACCAUCCUCCAAGGCUAAAUACUCCUGACUGACCGAUAGUGAACCAGUACCGUGAGGGAAAGGCGAAAAGAACCCCGGCGAGGGGAGUGAAAAAGAACCUGAAACCGUGUACGUACAAGCAGUGGGAGCACGCUU
RNAcentral lists this ribosomal RNA (555 nucleotides) under Escherichia coli. RNAcentral describes it as "partial 23S ribosomal RNA". It matches the Rfam family "Bacterial large subunit ribosomal RNA", at positions 1 to 586 of the family's 2925-position model. The record is from RNAcentral. Lineage: Bacteria; Pseudomonadati; Pseudomonadota; Gammaproteobacteria; Enterobacterales; Enterobacteriaceae. RNAcentral also lists the same sequence under 1 other name.